RNAcentral lists this long non-coding RNA (1418 nucleotides) under Bos indicus x Bos taurus (hybrid cattle). RNAcentral's name for it is "lncRNA (ENSBIXG00000025407.1)". Lineage: Eukaryota; Metazoa; Chordata; Mammalia; Artiodactyla; Bovidae. The record is from RNAcentral.
CAGGACGCCAUCUUCUUUUAUUGUUCAAGAAAGAAGUGUCCUUGUCAUACAACAGGAAAAAAAUGCUCUUUUGGCUGUUAGUCCUUCUGAUCCUUUGUGGUUUUCUGUGGAAUUAUAAAAGACAGCUAAAGAUCGCAAACAUCACUGAUAAGUACAUUUUCAUCACUGGGUGUGACACUGGCUUUGGAAACUUGGCAGCCAGAACUUUUGAUAAGAAAGGAUUUCAUGUAAUUGCUGCCUGCCUAACUGAAUCAGGAUCAACAGCUUUAAAGGCAGAAACUUCAGAGAGGCUUCAUACCGUGCUCCUGGAUGUAACUGACCCAGAAAAUGUCAAGAGGGCUGCCCAGUGGGUGAAAAACCAAGUUGGGGAGAAAGGUCUCUGGGGUCUGAUCAACAACGCUGGCAUUCUUGGUGUGCUGGCACCCAAUGACUGGCUGACAGUUGAGGACUACAGAGAACCUGUUGAAGUGAACCUGUUUGGACUCAUCAGUGUCACGUUAAACAUGCUUCCCUUGGUCAAAAAGGCUCGAGGGAGAAUUAUCAAUGUCUCCAGCAUUGGGGGUCGGCUUGCAUUUGGUGGAGGGGGCUAUUCGCCAUCUAAAUAUGCAGUAGAAGGCUUCAAUGACAGCUUAAGGCGGGACAUGAAAGCUUUUGGUGUGCAUGUCGCUUGCAUCGAACCAGGAUUGUUCAAAACCAAUUUGUCAGAUCCAGAAAAGACUGCUGAAAAGAAACUUGCCAUUUGGAAGCAUCUGUCUCCAGACAUCAAACAACAAUAUGGAGAAAGCUACAUUGAGAAAAGCCUAGAACAAUUGAAAGGCACUGCAUCCUUUGUGAACGUGGAUCUGUCCCUGGUGGUGGAGUGCAUGGACCAUGCUCUCACAAGUCUCUUCCCUAAAACCCGUUAUGCUGCUGGAAAAGAUGCCAAAACUUUCUGGAUCCCUCUGUCUCACAUGCCAGCAGUUUUGCAAGACUUUUUAUUGUUGAAACAGAAAGUAGAGCUGGCUAAUCCCAGGGCAGUAUGACUCAGCUGAUGACAAAUACCUGCCCCAGGCUGCGAAAUUGGCUGAUUUCUAGAACACAUCUCCUCAAUCUCAUUCUUUACCUAAUCCAAACUGGACUCAUUUGAAUCAAACUCCUUUUGGUAAAAAGACGGGCUGCCACCAUCACCUUCGAGGUUCCAGGGUCCCUCCUCAAAUUUUUCUUGAGAAGAUGGGCAGUGAUGGCGCCUGCCCAAUAUUUAGUCUUUGCCUGCUGGUUAUAAUGCAUGGAAGGUGGACAGGCUUUCCCAUCCAAAAUGAUUUUUCACCCGUGCCUGCCCCCUGCUUCUAAUCCAUACCACUUAGAGUGACUCCUGAAUGUUAAAUAUUUGUUCCUGAUCAAAAUAUUAAGAGAUAAGUAAAAUAAUUUCCUAAAGGGGG